CAUCUUUGGAUUUUUAUCUAAUGAUCCAGGACGUAAUCCUGGACGUGAAGAAUAAAAAAAAAUAAGGUUUUUCUUGAUUUUUAAAUGUUCUUAGCAUUUUUUUAUCUAUUCUACAUUUUUAAAUAUUAAAUAAAACAAAAAAGGUUCGCUAAAUUUUAAAGAAAAGAUAAAAAAAAUUCCAAAGUCAUCACCGAAACCGGAAAGAGAGGGAUUCGAACCCUCGGUACGAAUAACUCGUACAACGGAUUAGCAAUCCGACGCUUUAGUCCACUCAGCCAUCUCUCCCGAUUGAAAAAGGAUAAUUAAUUACUAUGUUACAUUACACAACAAGUAAGGCUUGAAAAAAUAAAGGCUUUUUUCUCUCUUUAUUACUUUUAUAAUUC
RNAcentral lists this transfer RNA (383 nucleotides) under Hevea brasiliensis (rubber tree). Lineage: Eukaryota; Viridiplantae; Streptophyta; Magnoliopsida; Malpighiales; Euphorbiaceae. The record is from RNAcentral.